AUUACACAUAUUUCAUCCAUUUCAGCAAUCAAAUUCUUUACAAACUUCAGAUACAACUUAUCUACAAAGCAUCUACUCAAGUUGCUGCAGCCUACAAGAUUUAUAAUAAUACAUGAGCAGCAACAUAGAAGACGUUUAACAGUAAACUCUAACUACAUUGAGUAUAAGGUGUUCUUGAGAUCCUGCAAAACCAUUAUAAACCAAAGUACAAAUUUAGAAGUGCGAAUAGAGAAUACUGUAAUAAAUAAUAAGGUUUGCAGCUGACAAUGUUCAGAGCCUGAUAAUUAUUAGGUGUGAGUUGCACUGAUCUGAGCCUUCGAAUCCUGCUUAUUUCUGGCGAAUAGCUAAUCAAUAUUUUGGAAUGUCAUUGUGAACUCUUAUGUAUACGUACAAGGCCAUGCAUAGCUAAUCUAUAUUUUGGAAUGAUUAUAAACAACGACAAUGACACCAGGAAAGCUUAUAGGAGUAUGUAGGGCUGAAUAAAACAGGACACCAUAUCCACAUGACAACACCAGCAAGGCUCACAAGGUAUAUUCAACCAUAUGUCUACCAUAAAGAUGAUUAAGUUUACGGCUGUGACACCAGCUAAGCACUCUGCAUGCAGCUCUGACUACACAAAUUUAGAAAUUGUCUUUCAAACUGUAUUUAACACAAAGGGGCCGCAAUUGGACAGAAUAAGUAUUUUGACCCAUUGCUCAUAAGCCAUAUAUUGCCCAUACCUAUGAAGCAGCACUUAGAUCACAACUCUUCUCCACACUCAACUAGGCUCUCCAACCAAUCACUUCUCUGCAAAAAAUAGUGCAUCACAUUCAACUACAUCAAAAAUUGAUAUUCUACAAGCACAUAAAAUCUGAAAUUUCUUUCACACAAUCAAAUGUUUGAAUUGACGUAUUUAUAGCAGAAAUGUCUAUCAGAAAAUUAUCUAACUGACAGCAAAAAGGCAGAAACUCUGCAUGUUCAGUAAUCAAAACAGAAACAAUUUAUUCAUCUAUGCUUUUGUCAUUUCUUAACCAGCUACUCUACCUCACUAUGGCAAAAUUAUGUCAAAUCAGCACAACAUGACAAAUACUUUCUAAUAUCGUGAUAUGCUCUCAAUCCAUGCAGUGAAAGAUGCGGAACACAUGGAAUAGCAUAGUCUGAUUAAGAAAAAGAUAAGGACAACACACGAUUCAUAUUCACUGCACUGUGAUAAUAAAGAUAUCAUAUAUUAGAAGUUAGUUAUAGUGCAUCCAUGAAAACAUGAUAAGUGCAUAGAAAGGGGAUGAUAUCAACCAUUGAAACAAGUGACAAUAUCCAUUCUGUAAAAAAAAGUUACUAAUGACCUAUUCCAAGAAGCAAGGAAAUUUAAUGACAGACAUUCUAAGUCACAUUUCAAUUAAUAGUAUAAUUUCAAUUUUCAAGCUAAGAGCCGCUGCAGGCUGUAGUUGUGAGUUAUAAUGUAAAUUCCUAUGUACACAAUGGUACAAGUAUGAAAUCCAGCGUUAAUUAGGCACUUGCCAUCUGCAAAACAAAAUUUUGCAACCAUAUUGUACAAGAACCUACACAUGCUCAUUAGUUAGGCACUUGGAUUCUAACAUAGCAGAAAAAGCUUUGCCAUUUGAUCUAUACAUGAACAAACAUCUGACUAAACUCGCCUCAUCAAACCCUUCAAGCAAGGGGGCAUGGGCAAAAGCAGAUUAUCAUCCUAGGACAACAGAUCCAGAGCGCGCAGGGAGGGAGAGGAGACUCACACAUACAACAGUGCUAGUAGACACCUUGAUUUGCUCCCAUCAUAACAGAAACUGCGAUUGAGUAGCAAACUGCAGAACCAUAUUCUUUUUUUUUGUGGCUAGGAGUGAUCUGAAAAUUACCAAGCUCAUGUAUUUAGAAUACACAUAACACGACCAUGAUCAAGAUACCUAAUCAGACU
This 1909-nucleotide long non-coding RNA is filed under the name Sorghum bicolor (sorghum). RNAcentral describes it as "long non-coding RNA (SBIC_LNC017243)". Lineage: Eukaryota; Viridiplantae; Streptophyta; Magnoliopsida; Poales; Poaceae. The record is from RNAcentral.